Podarcis lilfordi (Lilford's wall lizard) is the source of this 75-nucleotide non-coding RNA. The record is from the annotation of a GenBank genome assembly. NCBI's taxonomy places the organism in Eukaryota, Metazoa, Chordata, Lepidosauria, Squamata, Lacertidae.
GGGGAUAGCUUAGUUGGUAGAGCGUGAGACUCCUAUUAAUCUCAGGGCUGUGGGUUCGUGCCCCACGUUCGGCCA